This 468-nucleotide ribosomal RNA is filed under the name uncultured bacterium. Its description in RNAcentral is "partial 16S ribosomal RNA". It matches the Rfam family "Bacterial small subunit ribosomal RNA", at positions 28 to 507 of the family's 1533-position model. The record is from RNAcentral.
GACGAACGCUGGCGGCGUGCUUAACACAUGCAAGUCGAACGGAAAGGCCCUGCUUUUGUGGGGUGCUCGAGUGGCGAACGGGUGAGUAACACGUGAGUAACCUGCCCUUGACUUUGGGAUAACUUCAGGAAACUGGGGCUAAUACCGGAUAGGAGCUCCUGAUGUAUGGUGGGGGUUGGAAAGUUUCGGUGGUGGGGGUUGGAGGCGCGGUUUAUCAGUUUGUUGGUGGGGUAGUGGCUUACCAAGGAUUUGACGGGUAGCCGGCCUGAGAGGGUGACCGGCCACAUUGGGACUGAGAUACGGCCCAGACUCCUACCUUACACACCAGUCAAAAAUAUUACACAAUAACCGCAAGCCUGAUACGACAACCCCGCGUGCGGGAUGACGGCCUUCGGGUUGUAAACCACUUUCACCUAUAACAAAACUUUAGUAACUUUCAUUCAUAAAUAAUCACCGGCUAACUACUUG